GGGCAGGUGGUAGAGCGGUCAAUUACACCACGCUGUAAACGUGGCGCCUUCGGGCUACGGGGGUUCGAAUCCCUCCCUGCCCACCC
RNAcentral lists this transfer RNA (86 nucleotides) under Candidatus Sungbacteria bacterium RIFCSPHIGHO2_01_FULL_54_26. Its description in RNAcentral is "tRNA-Tyr". It matches the Rfam family "tRNA". From Rfam's summary of the family: Transfer RNA (tRNA) molecules are approximately 80 nucleotides in length. Their secondary structure includes four short double-helical elements and three loops (D, anti-codon, and T loops). Lineage: Bacteria; Candidatus Sungiibacteriota. RNAcentral also lists the same sequence under 3 other names. The record is from RNAcentral.